GAUGAAGAACGCAGCGAAAUGCGAUACGUAAUGUGAAUUGCAGAAUUCAGUGAAUCAUCGAGUCUUUGAACGCACAUUGCGCCCCCUGGUAUUCCGGGGGGCAUGCCUGUCCGAGCGUCAUUGCUGCCCUCAAGCACGGCUUGUGUGUUGGGCCUCCGUCCUCCUCCCGGGGGACGGGCCCGAAAGGCAGCGGCGGCACCGCGUCCGGUCCUCGAGCGUAUGGGGCUUCGUCACCCGCUCUUGUAGGCCCGGCCGGCGCUUGCCGACACAUCAAUCUUUUUUCCAGGUUGACCUCGGAUCAGGUAGGGGUACCCGCUGAACUUAAGCAUAUCAAUAAGCGGAGGA
Molecule: unclassified non-coding RNA, 345 nt
Filed under: soil metagenome
Description: partial contains 5.8S ribosomal RNA, internal transcribed spacer 2, and large subunit ribosomal RNA
Rfam family: 5.8S ribosomal RNA (bases 1-120)
Source: RNAcentral